UGUUGAAAUAGUCACUACGGUGUUGGCUCGGCUCACUCAGACGUGACUUAUUGCAAGCUCACGUGCCGUAAAGGCGAUGUGUUCGGACUUGGUUCGAGUCUUUGAUUGAGCCGUGCCAAUAUCUUAGUGUUUUUUUCACUUACG
Molecule: microRNA precursor, 144 nt
Filed under: Orobanche cernua var. cumana
Lineage: Eukaryota; Viridiplantae; Streptophyta; Magnoliopsida; Lamiales; Orobanchaceae
Source: RNAcentral